Molecule: long non-coding RNA, 674 nt
Organism: Lolium rigidum
Lineage: Eukaryota; Viridiplantae; Streptophyta; Magnoliopsida; Poales; Poaceae
Exons: 3
Source: RefSeq, a predicted model, not a curated record
AGCUCCUUUGUGCUUGACAAGAACCAGAGCAGCUGGACGCUGGAGCACCAGGUGUCCCUACGACCCUUGCAGAUGAGAGGGGCAACACGUAUUGUCCUCAUUGACCCACUUGAUUCCAAUGUCGUGCACCUCGAGGUUGUGACUGGGACGCACCUCCGGGAAAUGGUUGUCGUGGACAUGAAUAGUGGGGAGGCGAGUGCGAGCUUCCAGUACAGAGGCAACGCGGAAUGUAUACCAUGUGUUCUUCCAUCCUGGCUUGGAUCCAGCCAGAUCCCUUCUACAGGCAAGAAAGACAUCAAGAAAGACAAGACUUUGGCAGAUGUUCUCGUUCGUGCAGGCAGUCCUUAGAAGUGAUGAAGGUUUCUUAAAACUAACAGCAGCUGCUCCUCUAAUAAAUUAGGAAGCUGAUGGUGGACCAAACUGUGAUUUCAGGAUUCCCGAUUUGUCUUCUGUCUCUUUUGGGUGGUAAUCUGGGAGUUCUUUCAGACUUUCAGUUCGUGGUAGAACAUUCCAGCAGAGUUGCUAAAUUGAUUCAGCAUGUAACGACUAACACUAAACAUUGUACGUAUAUGCUGUGUUUACUAGCAAGACACUGCAUCUGUAGGAAAAGAUUGAUGUUUCCGCAUGUUGAACUCUUAUGAGAAAUCUUAUUAAGGGAUCUAAUCUUAUGUUCA